GCUGGCAUGAAUGAUGAACAAGUGAAAGAAAACUCACCGAGAAAAGAAGAAGAUGACAGGGAAAGUGAACUGAGCUUGCCAUGGCUUGUUAAAAAGAGGUAGGUGACUAGUUUACAAAGGGUUAUAAUGAUGAACUCUUUAUCUCUUUCCUAUUAUUUUAUGUUUUUGUCCUGUUCUGUGAUGAGAAGCCUUUUGGUUAUCUUCUUUGCUCUCUUCUUUAUGUUGGGUUGGGAUGGUAGUGCAAUGUUUGAUUGUAAUAAGUAGUUCAAUCUUUGUAAGGAUGAAGUCACUAAACCUGCCCAGAUGAACUGACAUGUAUUUCUUUAAGUUACAAGUGACAACCAACCUUCUAAAAGCCCUUUUGUUUGUAGCAUCAGUAAUGGCCAAUCUCAAAAUAUUAUGCCACUUUAAGAUUUAGGAAUAAAUCAUAUUCAGGGCCACACAUUUUUUUUUUUUUUAUCGAGUCUUUAUAUUCUUAAUUCGUAAUAUUAAAUUUUAAUACUUUAAUUUUAUGAAAUUUAAAUCAUUUUCUAAAAAUAGAUAUGAAUGUGUAUUAGACGGCAUAUUGAUAACUAUUAAGUUUUCUACUAGAAUUUUUAUGAUUUAUUUUGUGAGAUUGAGUCUCUAUUUUUAUUUUCAUAACAUUAAACCUUUAUACAUUUAUUUUAGUGACAUUAACCUCUAUAAACUAUUAUUUAUCUUUUAAGUUAUAAGAAUGAUAAAAAUUUAUUAUAAUUUAGAUUUAGUUAUAUUUUAUAUUUUAAUAAUAAACUUUUAAUUUAAUUGGAUUGAUACCACUUGAUUUUAAUUUAUUUAAUUAAGAUUCUAAUUUAUUAAUUUUAAUUAGUUAUAUUAACUAAGACAUGAUAUUUUCAUUAAUAAAAAUAAGAGAUAAACUUAUAGAAAAAUUAUAAAAGAAAGUUAUAAUUCUUAGCAAUUAAUACAAUUUAAAGCAAAUUAUAUAUAUUCUAGUAACAAUUUAUUAAUUAUAGAAAUAUUCAAUUAAAAUAGUACCCAAAUCACAUUUCCAUUAAUUAAAUAUAUCCAAUAAUGGCUAAAUAAAAUAUAUAUUAAUUCAUAUAUAUGAUUAUGAAAUUUAAAUGUUCAUUAUAAAAUAAAUUUCUAGCUUUUUUGUAUGUUGACCUAAGUGCAAUUGAUCUCUAUUUUGAUUUUAAUAACCAAAUUAAUUAUCACUAAUACCAUGAUUGAGUGUCUAUGUAACAGAGCAUCAAAGGAACCAAACCUAUCCCAAAUAUUCUUUAGCCUUGAAGUAAAUCUUGUAAAAUUUACCUCAAAAGCGCGAGGGCGCUCCAAAGGCGCGGGAGCGCUUUUCAUACAGUGAAAAAUUUGCAAGACGUUGAAAAGUCCACCUGACAGAAGUUCAAUUAUCUUAUGACACUUGGCAGUCAAAGUGUCAAAGCUCCAAGAAGCGCGAGGGCGCCUCAUUUUAGGUGAGACAAAUUCUGGUAGAUGAUAGCGCAAUGAGAAGCGCGUGGGCGCGGUCAAGGUAAGCGCAAGAGCAGUUUUCACAAUUAAUGCAAUGUCAGUAACCGUUAAGAUAGUAGCCAUCUUAUCGGUGCUACGUGGCUGGAGCCGUUGGAGUUCCAACGUCUCUUUUCAGAAAGCGCGAGCACGCUUGGGAAGCACGGGGGCGCUUUCCAUGACUUUAGACAAAGUCAUCAAAUCUUACAUUGAAGGAGUUUUAGCUUCAUUAUAACAUCUCUAAGGGGUUGGUAUAAGUAUAAAUAUAGCUUCAUUAUAACAUCUCAAGAACCAAGUGUGUGAAUUAUAUAUACCAAAACUCUUACAAAUUUAUUUCUCAACUUCUUACACUCAUUUUCUUUCUCUGUAAAGUGUAUUAAGUUGAAAUCUUUAUUCAACUAAAACUCAAACAAGGUUGUUAUGUGAGCCUAUGUAUUAAACACAAGGAAUUGGUUGUUGAGUAACCAUUAAUACUUAAAGGUUAAGGGACUUAGUGAGAGUUUGAUACACUAAGGGAAGAGGUUUAGUGUGAGCCUUGAAAAUACCAAGUUGUGGGUGAACUUGUAAAAUUCAAAGUUGUAAUCUAAGUGAUUAUAGUGAAAUACUUAAGUGUGAUCUUGAGG
RNAcentral lists this long non-coding RNA (2105 nucleotides) under Ricinus communis (castor bean). RNAcentral describes it as "long non-coding RNA (RCOM_LNC000438)". Lineage: Eukaryota; Viridiplantae; Streptophyta; Magnoliopsida; Malpighiales; Euphorbiaceae. The record is from RNAcentral.